GGCCAUUUCUAGUUUGAGAUAAAUAAAUUGAGCUUGAUAAUUUCUGUACCAUUUGUCCUUGCAAAAAUAGGGAAAAUAAGAACUUAAAACUGUUUUGUGUUAUCUAGUUUACAUAUGUCAAAAUAGUUCCUUAUGUUUUCCAAAUCUUUAGCAUAACAAACCAAAAAAAAUGCUAUAGUAUAUAUAAACAAGAGGCUCUCAAGAGCCUGAAUCGCUCACCUUAAUUUUUUUGGUUAAAUCUCCCAUCAAUGAUUAUUUUGGCUUUUCAAUUUACUUAAAUGUUCUUUGAAUUAUCCUAUUUUCUU
This 305-nucleotide long non-coding RNA is filed under the name Mytilus galloprovincialis (Mediterranean mussel). The record is from RNAcentral. Lineage: Eukaryota; Metazoa; Mollusca; Bivalvia; Mytilida; Mytilidae.